This 293-nucleotide ribosomal RNA is filed under the name uncultured bacterium. RNAcentral's name for it is "partial 16S ribosomal RNA". It matches the Rfam family "Archaeal small subunit ribosomal RNA", at positions 455 to 747 of the family's 1478-position model. The record is from RNAcentral.
GUGCCAGCCGCCGCGGUAAUACCGGCAGCCCAAGUGAUGGCCGAUCUUAUUGGGCCUAAAGCGUCCGUAGCUGGCUGCGCAAGUCCGUCGGGAAAUCCACUCGCCCAACGAGUGGGCGUCCGACGGAAACUGCACAGCUUGGGACCGGAAGGCUCGAAGGGUACGUUCGGGGUAGGAGUGAAAUCCCAUAAUCCCGCACGGACCACCGGUGGCGAAAGCGCCUCGAGAGGACGGACCCGACAGUGAGGGACGAAAGCCAGGGUCUCGAACCGGAUUAGAUACCCGUGUAGUCC